Molecule: non-coding RNA, 3707 nt
Organism: Phoenix dactylifera (date palm)
Lineage: Eukaryota; Viridiplantae; Streptophyta; Magnoliopsida; Arecales; Arecaceae
Source: RefSeq, a predicted model, not a curated record
ACCACACAUCACAUAGCUUUUAGAUUUUAUGAAUCAAUUUUUAUAUUAAUCAGUGAUUAAGCUUUUACUAGGAAUCCGGGAAUUAAAUGCACGAGUUCAUAGUUUUUAACACAAUGGCAUCAUGUUCCUCCAAAUCGAAAGAUCGGGGGAAGGCUGUCGUCCCACCGGCUCCAGCCCUCCAUUGUGGUGGAUCUAAUGAAGAACAGAAUUUCCAAGGUGAAGCUCUUCGUUGCCGACCCAAUCGUGCUCCGGGGGCUUGCUAGGAGCCUCAUCCAGGUGCUGGUGGAGACCCCCAACGACAUGCUUGGGGUUUUAGGUUCUUCACCCGCCGCCGCCGUUCUAGUUUAAAGGGGGCGUCGAUAUCAAGUAUUUGUCGGCAUGUUUUGUACUGAAAUUUCGAUAGGGUUUUCUUGAAUCUUCUUUAUAUAAUGCAUUUUCUCUGUUUUUUCAGUAAUUUUUUUUUAAAAAAAAUUUCGGUGCUUCUUUAUGUGAAUGCUGAUUAAUUCGCCUGUAUCUUUCCUCCUCUUUUCUUAGAUUUGUCGAACGCUUGGACAUGUAUCGCAUUUUUUUUAGUUAGGGCAGGAUUUCAUAAUGUAGAGGAGAUGCUAUUAGUACACGCAUUAGUUUUAUCUCAAUGGAGUUUACGAUUUAUUAGUAUUAUUGCUAUUUGAUUGGGAAUUUCUUUUACCUUCAAAACAUAAUCAUAUUCAGGUAAUUAAGCAUUCCUCUCUAGAAAGAACUGUACAAGGUUUGUGCAAACCAAUACCCCCCGCCCCUUUUUCUCCAAACAAGAGCCUCUGUAUUCUCAUUCUCUGUUCUUAAUCCUUUGCAUGAGCUUCCUUUUUGUUGGUUUGCUUUGCCGUCAGAAUCAUCUGUAAAAUCCAAAGGACCUGGGAGGAUGUCGGUUACUCGAAAUCAUGUGAUUUCCACAGAUUGGUCGGGUGGCUGGAGUCCUGGGGAGUUGCUGAUCUUCCAGUUCAGAGAUUUUUGAGACUCCCAUGUUAACCUUUCUGAUGGGCUUAUUGUCCCAAAAAUCUUGGGGACAGCGGAUGGGUGGUGUCCUUCAGUCCCCUCUGUAUUCUGUCUCCACAGCUUUUUAUUCGUUUAUCUUCGUAUUAAUGCGGAGAUACCGCCCCUACAGGAGAAUUGCACAAUUCAGAUGGCCCCUAAAAACUAUUUACAAUUCCUUGCUCUCAUAUAUGUCAUAAUCCAAUGUUGAAUUGAGAAUCUGAAUGAAGAAGCCUGCAAGAUAGACAUUCCACCCAAUUAUCCUGUCUUUUUUUAUUUUAUAUUAUAUUUGUUGCUAAUCAAAUUUAGCAGAAAAUAAUCUUGCACGCUACGUUGUGUGAGGAAUCUAAUUAGGUUUUUCAGGAUUAGUUAUAACAGUUGCUAAUGCCAACUCCAGUAGUAUGAUUAUAUAUCUGUGCUAAUAAUGACUAAACCCAUGGCAUAAUUUGAUCUAUUGAUUAUCCUUGUUGGUUAAAAGGCAUAUAUAAAAUCUUCUGUUGUUUAGUUGUGCAUAAAUUUUUGUAGUCAUUGCUUUAUAAUCUUUGCAGAAAUCAUCAUAAGAAAUAAGAUGUAAUGAAUAUUAUGAUUGCUGUUCUAGAUAUCAUGAGCAUAUCGUUAUAAACCUAUGCUACUCGCAUGUUGAGUUAGAUGGACCUGCCAUAUUUUUAUGUACAUGUUCUACAAUUCUUUUAGUCUAACAUUAGUAGCACAUCCAUCUUAACUUAGUCAUAUAAAAUUCUGUAUUCUUACGUCUAUGUCAAGUCAUUUUAUAGCUGCUGUAUCAUGAUUGUUAUAAUCAUUUCAUUCUAGACGCAUUCAAAGGAAUGCCAUAAGAUAAUGUUUACUGCUGCCAUCAUAGAACCCACAGUGCCUUAUCAGAUAAACGUAAUAAUUUAUAUGUUACAACCUCACAAAAAUUAAAAAAAUGCUCAGGAGCUGUAUGAUGCAAUAAAUCUGAACAUGGGUCUAAAUAAUGUUGAGCUCAAAUGUUUUACACCCUGAAACUUUUUACCUCUACAUAAUGGUCGAAAAUUCAUUGCUACAAAUUCCUGAACUCUAAGACCUUCAUAGUGGAGUUAGAUCCUAAACGAGGAUGACCAAGUAUAUCCUACACUAAGUACCUCCAACCUGGUCAAGCUUUGCAAGCACUUGUAGACAUUCCCUAGGAAUGUUAACCCUUACAAUAGCUUUCUACUCUCCUCAUUCUUUUUUUAAAUACGAAAAAUUGGAUUGUGUUAGGAUCGUUUAGAACAAUAUCUCUUGCCUUUAUCAUUUCACGAUUUCUUAUAUAUUUCUUCUGUGUCUAAUAUAAAACUGUUUUCCUUUCAUUCCCUUUUUAUUAACCUUUGUUAUUUACUAGUCUUAUUGAUUGGGAUGCUUAGUGUCCUUAAAAUUCUAAAUAUUCAGAAUUUGUAUGGAAACCGGUAAGGAAAAGUUUUUUUUUUCAUCUUCUUUCUCUAAGAAAAAUUUCUUUGCCUUUCUUCUCUCCUUGCAUUUCAUUAUUUUUCUCUAUGGGGCAUCAACAGUUGAGAUUGCUUCACUUAUAUUCCCUUCAUGAUUGUGCAUGUGGAGGGAAUGAGACUGGUAGGUUUAUCAUGUGUUUGCACUGUUGCAUGGCCACGAAUAUGAGAAUCAGAUUGAGACACAUAUCCGGGUGUAUGACAGGGCAAAAGAUAAAGAGAAGACAUAUAAGAACCAAAGGAAAAAAAUGCAAUAGCUAAAUUAGAUAUUUAUUUUUUAACAAGUACUAUAUAGUAGAAAACACUAACAUUAUUUGUUAAGGUGUUUAAAUAUACAUGUUCCUCAUCAUCAAAUAUUAACUCAAGAAUAUGCAAAAACAUGACAUUUCACAAAAUUAUUUCCACAUCCAAAUUCUUGACCAAGCUCUAGGACCCACUACAGCUCACUUCUGAUGUCAUUGCAAUGGGUUGGACUCGUUGCUGAAUGAGUCUAAGUCUCCACAAAUUUCCAGAAGCUGCAACCAAAGAAUAUGAUAGAUAUCUAAGCAACCAAAGGAUAUGAUAGAUAUCUAAAUGUCUGACAUUAAUCAUGGAUACAUAUCAACAUGAGUUCUUUGAGCUGAAUUUGAGAAUCCAGGUGGCACAGGUUAUUUGUAUCCCGGCACAGGAUCACUACUUCCCCUUUACAAAGGAAGCAAUCAGCCUUGUGCAAUUGUUCAUUGCACCUUGAACAACAGGUUUGCUUGCAAAGCUAAGGUGUCACGCCCCGGAUCCGGUUCCGUGACACGGCCGUGCUAUUGCCGACUACCGCCCACAAUAGCACGCAGCCUCGUACAUGGUCAACAGGUAGUCAAAAGCAGUGUAACUUGUAUAUAUCAAAAGAAGGUAUUACAACCCACUGGUUCAUAUAAAGUACAGAGCUUCUACAUAGUUUAUAUACACAAAAGUUUAUUUAUAUCAUCCCCAAAAAUAAAGAAGCCCUGUUGCAAAAGAAAAAUGCUUCUGGCAGCUGUCACUGGUGGUGAUCUAAAAAAAAAAAAACGUAAAUGAACAGGCAUGAGCUACACGGCUCAGUAAGUAAUCCUGCAUAAUCUUGUCGAAUCGACUAAAAAUGCUAACCAUGCUUAUCAGGGUUUGAGAAGCUGACAUGUAUGCUACUAAAUCAAUCAUCAUAAUAAAAUAUCCAUGCUGAGUAAAUAAAACAGUAUCCUACAAUGUCAAGAAAUCAUGUAAUAUGCA